This 3048-nucleotide ribosomal RNA is filed under the name Acinetobacter baumannii. RNAcentral's name for it is "23S ribosomal RNA". It matches the Rfam family "Bacterial large subunit ribosomal RNA". The record is from RNAcentral. Lineage: Bacteria; Pseudomonadati; Pseudomonadota; Gammaproteobacteria; Moraxellales; Moraxellaceae.
GUUGUAUAGUCAAGUAAUUAAGUGCAUGUGGUGGAUGCCUUGGCAGUCAGAGGCGAUGAAAGACGUGAUAGCCUGCGAAAAGCUCCGGGGAGGCGGCAAAUAUCCUUUGAUCCGGAGAUGUCUGAAUGGGGGAACCCACCUACUUUAAGGUAGGUAUUGCAACAUGAAUACAUAGUGUUGCAAGGCGAACGAGGGGAAGUGAAACAUCUCAGUACCCUUAGGAAAAGAAAUCAAUUGAGAUUCCCUCAGUAGCGGCGAGCGAACGGGGAUCAGCCCAUUAAGUUAUGUGUGUUUUAGUGGAACGCUCUGGGAAGUGCGAACGUAGAGGGUGAUAUUCCCGUACACGAAAGGGCACACAUAAUGAUGACGAGUAGGGCGAGGCACGUGAAACCUUGUCUGAAUAUGGGGGGACCAUCCUCCAAGGCUAAAUACUCCUGACUGACCGAUAGUGAACCAGUACCGUGAGGGAAAGGCGAAAAGAACCCCUGUGAGGGGAGUGAAAUAGAUCCUGAAACCGCAUGCAUACAAGCAGUGGGAGCACCUUCGUGGUGUGACUGCGUACCUUUUGUAUAAUGGGUCAGCGACUUAUAUUCAGUAGCAAGGUUAACCGUAUAGGGGAGCCGUAGAGAAAUCGAGUCUUAAUAGGGCGUUUAGUUGCUGGGUAUAGACCCGAAACCAGGCGAUCUAUCCAUGAGCAGGUUGAAGGUUGGGUAACACUAACUGGAGGACCGAACCCACUGUCGUUGAAAAGCCAGGGGAUGACUUGUGGAUAGGGGUGAAAGGCUAAUCAAGCCUGGUGAUAGCUGGUUCUCCCCGAAAGCUAUUUAGGUAGCGCCUCGGACGAAUACCAUAGGGGGUAGAGCACUGUUUCGGCUAGGGGGUCAUCCCGACUUACCAAACCGAUGCAAACUCCGAAUACCUAUGAGUACUAUCCGGGAGACAGACUGCGGGUGCUAACGUCCGUAGUCAAGAGGAAAACAAUCCAGACCGCCAGCUAAGGCCCCAAAAUCAUAGUUAAGUGGGAAACGAUGUGGGAAGGCAUAGACAGCUAGGAGGUUGGCUUAGAAGCAGCCACCCUUUAAAGAAAGCGUAAUAGCUCACUAGUCGAGUCGGCCUGCGCGGAAGAUGUAACGGGGCUAAAACUAUGUGCCGAAGCUGCGGAUNNNNNNNNNNNNNNNNNNNNNNNNNNNNNNNNNGUAUACUUUGUAUACGUGGUAGGGGAGCGUUCUGUAAGCCGAUGAAGGUGUGUUGAGAAGCAUGCUGGAGGUAUCAGAAGUGCGAAUGCUGACGUGAGUAACGACAAAACGGGUGAAAAACCCGUUCGCCGAAAGACCAAGGGUUCCAGUCCAACGUUAANNNNNNNNNNNNNNNNNNNNNNNNNNNNNNNNNNNNNNNNNNNNNNNNNNNNNUCGGGGCUGGGUGAGUCGACCCCUAAGGCGAGGCCGAAAGGCGUAGUCGAUGGGAAAAUGGUUAAUAUUCCAUUACUUCUGUGUAAUGCGAUGAGAGGACGGAGAAGGCUAAAUCAGCCUGGCGUUGGUUGUCCAGGUGAAAGGAUGUAGGCAUGUAUCUUAGGCAAAUCCGGGGUACUCUAUGCUGAGAUCUGAUAGCAAGCUGUACUUGUACAGCGAAGUGGUUGAUGCCAUGCUUCCAGGAAAAGUCUCUAAGCUUCAGUUACACAGGAAUCGUACCCGAAACCGACACAGGUGGUCAGGUCGAGUAGACCAAGGCGCUUGAGAGAACUCUGCUGAAGGAACUAGGCAAAAUGGUACCGUAACUUCGGGAGAAGGUACGCUGUUGUUGGUGAUGGAACUCGCUUCCUGAGCUGACGACAGCCGCAGAAACCAGGCCGCUGCAACUGUUUAUUAAAAACAUAGCACUCUGCAAACACGAAAGUGGACGUAUAGGGUGUGAUGCCUGCCCGGUGCUGGAAGGUUAAUUGAUGGGGUUAGCGUAAGCGAAGCUCUUGAUCGAAGCCCCAGUAAACGGCGGCCGUAACUAUAACGGUCCUAAGGUAGCGAAAUUCCUUGUCGGGUAAGUUCCGACCUGCACGAAUGGCAUAAUGAUGGCGGCGCUGUCUCCAGCAGAGGCUCAGUGAAAUCGAAAUCGCUGUGAAGAUGCAGUGUACCCGCGGCUAGACGGAAAGACCCCGUGAACCUUUACUGCAGCUUGACACUGAACUUUGACCUUACUUGUGUAGGAUAGGUGGGAGGCUUUGAAGCUGGAACGCUAGUUCCAGUGGAGCCGUCCUUGAAAUACCACCCUGGUAAUGUUGAGGUUCUAACUCUGUCCCGUGAUCCGGGACGAGGACCGUGUCUGGUGGGUAGUUUGACUGGGGCGGUCUCCUCCUAAAGAGUAACGGAGGAGUACGAAGGUGCGCUCAGCGUGGUCGGAAAUCACGCGUAGAGUAUAAAGGCAAAAGCGCGCUUAACUGCGAGACCCACAAGUCGAGCAGGUACGAAAGUAGGUCUUAGUGAUCCGGUGGUUCUGUAUGGAAGGGCCAUCGCUCAACGGAUAAAAGGUACUCUGGGGAUAACAGGCUGAUACCGCCCAAGAGUUCAUAUCGACGGCGGUGUUUGGCACCUCGAUGUCGGCUCAUCUCAUCCUGGGGCUGAAGCAGGUCCCAAGGGNNNNNNNNNNNNNNNNNNNNNUAUGGCUGUUCGCCAUUUAAAGAGGUACGCGAGCUGGGUUUAGAACGUCGUGAGACAGUUCGGUCCCUAUCUACCGUGGGCGCUGGAAAUUUGAGAGGAUCUGCUCCUAGUACNNNNNNNNNNNNNNNNNNNNNNNGAGAGGACCAGAGUGGACGAACCUCUGGUGUACCGGUUGUGACGCCAGUCGCAUCGCCGGGUAGCUAUGUUCGGAAGGGAUAACCGCUGAAAGCAUCUAAGCGGGAAGCCUACCUCAAGAUAAGAUUUCCCUAGGACUUUAUGUCCUCUAAAGAGCCGUUCGAGACUAGGACGUUGAUAGGUUGGAUGUGGAAGCAUAGUGAUAUGUGAAGCUGACCAAUACUAAUUGCUCGUGAGGCUUGACUAUACAACACCCAAGCAGUUG